GGGCUCUUACAAGCUGCAGCGACAGCUUCAGAUAGGUCACGGUGGGAGCAUUUUCACCACGGACAUUUGGCAAAUGUUACAAAUUAGAGGUCUCUCCAUCCCACCGCUCCCCGUGGAAAGCCCCUCUCUAACUCCAAAUACGGUAACCCGGGACGGCGAAGGUAGCCUGCGAGCAGGGAUUUUCUCAGACAAACCACGAAGGAUGGAAUCGAUGUCACCGAGAAGAGAUACAUUCCUGGAAAAGGGAGUUUGUGGGGAAGAAGUUUUUUUAACCCCCCUAGAACAGCCGAUACCCCAGGUCAAGGGCCCUGCGUCAGAAACAGCUGGGUUCGGGCGACAGCUCUUGGGCUCCUAAACCGUGUGACCACGAGCCUCACAUCUCAAUGCCCAGUUUCCCUGUCUGCAGGUGUGGUUAAUAGUAACAUCUGUCUCCAAUGGAAUCGUCAGGCGAUGCAUUUAAAUCUUAGAGCGUUGCCCGGCACAGAGGAAGCGCUCCAUCUAUGUUAACCACGACCAGUUAUUGAUUAGAACCCCACAACCUCAGCAGGGACGGAGCUGAUCUUCCUAUCUUCCUCCUAAGACCAGUUUCACCUUUAGGUGCCCUUCCCAGGGCUGGGAGGCGGGGAUUGGCUCCUCUGUCCUCCCCAGCAGCUACGCUUUGACCUGAGCUUCCUCUGGGCUCCUCACGUGUGCCUGUCCCCUGCGAUCAGUACAACGAACAAAGUAUCCCCUAGAACACAGAGAGUCAUACGGUGGCUCCCUGAAUGCACAAGCGUUAAGGAUGUCAGCGGUAGACACCCGCAGAAGCCAAAGGUGUUCUGGAGAGGAGUUCCUGGCCGGCUAAGGUGUCCAGUAGGUGGAUGAUCCCCAUACCCGAAUAUGGGGAUUAGGAGGUACAAACUUCCAGUUACAAAAUAAAUAAGUCGGACGCACGCACAAAAGAUAUCCACUAUAUGCCUGGCCCUGUGACUGCCACAUAGUAAUCGAUGUUAACUGAAGGCAGAGAUGAAUGGCAGAUGAGCACAUGGUCUUGAUUCCACUCUAUGAAAACACUCAGCACAUCCAACCAACCUGACGUUUGCAGGAGAGCUGGGAUCCUGUGAGGUGCUGCCGUGCAGCAAGCAUCUGGACUAUGUGCAAGAUAGAGAGGACACGUCGAAGGCAUCCCCUUUCCAGCUACAAACCCAGCAUUGUGCAUGCUCGUCCCUGCGAUGGCCCUCAGCCUGCUGGCUGACGGAGGCUGUCCUGGCUGUGCUUGCCGGCAUCAUUCUUGUCGAAAGUACUAGAUGGCUACUGUUGUGUUCAGCAAACAGCCGGUGCCUCAUGCCAAAUGUAGUC
Molecule: long non-coding RNA, 1338 nt
Organism: Herpailurus yagouaroundi (jaguarundi)
Lineage: Eukaryota; Metazoa; Chordata; Mammalia; Carnivora; Felidae
Exons: 3
Source: RefSeq, a predicted model, not a curated record